RNAcentral lists this ribosomal RNA (429 nucleotides) under Gemmatimonadota bacterium. RNAcentral describes it as "Gemmatimonadetes bacterium partial 16S ribosomal RNA". It matches the Rfam family "Bacterial small subunit ribosomal RNA", at positions 355 to 776 of the family's 1533-position model. The record is from RNAcentral. Lineage: Bacteria; Pseudomonadati; Gemmatimonadota.
UAGGGAAUCUUCGGCAAUGGACGAAAGUCUGACCGAGCAACGCCGCGUGAGUGAAGAAGGCUUUCGGAUCGUAAAACUCUGUUGUUAGAGAAGAACAAGGACGUUAGUAACUGAACGUCCCCUGACGGUAUCUAACCAGAAAGCCACGGCUAACUACGUGCCAGCAGCCGCGGUAAUACGUAGGUGGCAAGCGUUGUCCGGAUUUAUUGGGCGUAAAGCGAGCGCAGGCGGUUUCUUAAGUCUGAUGUGAAAGCCCCCGGCUCAACCGGGGAGGGUCAUUGGAAACUGGGGGACUUGAGUGCAGAAGAGGAGAGUGGAAUUCCAUGUGUAGCGGUGAAAUGCGUAGAUAUAUGGAGGAACACCAGUGGCGAAGGCGGCUCUCUGGUAUGUAACUGACGCUGAGGCGCGAAAGCGUGGGGAGCAAACAGG